UGCGAAAACAGAGACAGUCUUAAGGGAAAAGCAUGCAGUGGGAACGAUAGAUAGGGAUAUAUAUGCGUCAGUUUGGCUCACCAGUUGUGCUGGGAGCGGCGCCUGGGGCAGAGAUGAUCGAUUGUUACCACUUACAGAUCAAACUCUGCUGACUUGGCGGGCUCUGUGUGUUGAAAAACAUAGACGUGUCCGACGACGGCUACGAACACUAAUUUUGCGUUUUUUUUCUCUCAUGCUAUCUCUUUCUUCGCAGCGACACCAUAAAAGGGGCGGCUGCUUCCUGGCAGUUUUUUACUAGCCCCAUUUUGGCUACCAAAGGCCAAUUUGUAGAGAAACAUAUGUGGAUUUCUCUUUAUAAAUUGAAAUUUACACAUAUACAUAUAUACAUACCCAUUACAGUAAACAUGAAAUUUCUUCCCCACAAUGACUAUGGUUGAUGAGAUGACGCUAAUUGUCGUCAACGCUGAGAAGAUGGAGACGGGACUACCGUAUAUGAGCGGGCGAGCGCUAUGGCCAAAUUCAUGCGCUUAUGGGAUAUAAGGGUUCUCCAGUGGAGCGCACAGUGGAAAUCAGCAUUAUGUCGCGCUCCUGGGUUAUAUAGAUGAAGAUAAAUAUACAUUACAUACU
Long non-coding RNA from Drosophila pseudoobscura, 627 nucleotides. RefSeq lists it as uncharacterized. The transcript is spliced from 2 exons. NCBI's taxonomy places the organism in Eukaryota, Metazoa, Arthropoda, Insecta, Diptera, Drosophilidae. The record is from RefSeq and is a predicted model, not a curated record.